Molecule: ribosomal RNA, 1260 nt
Filed under: Brucella anthropi
Lineage: Bacteria; Pseudomonadati; Pseudomonadota; Alphaproteobacteria; Hyphomicrobiales; Brucellaceae
Description: Ochrobactrum anthropi partial 16S ribosomal RNA
Rfam family: Bacterial small subunit ribosomal RNA (bases 18-372)
Source: RNAcentral
GGGGGAAACGUUUCAUCGGACUACUGAGGCGUAAGCGCACGUAGUGCGGGCUAGUAAGUCAGGGAGUGAAAUCCCGGGGCUCAACCCCGGAACUGCCUUUGAUACUGUUAGUCUUGAGUAUGGGAGAGGUGAAUGGAAUUCCGAGUGUAGAGGUGAAAUUCGUAGAUAUUCGGAGGAACACCAGUGGCGAAGGCGGCUCACUGGACCAUUACUGACGCUGAGGUGCGAAAGCCGUGGGGGAGCAAACAGGGAUUAGGAAUACCCUGGGUAAGGUCCACGCCCGGUAAACGAAAUGAAUGGGUUAGCCGUUUGGGGGAAGUUUAACCUCUUCGGGGAUGGCGCAAGCUAUACCGCAUUAAAAACCAUUCCGCCCUGGGGGGAAAGUACGGGUCGGCCAAAGAAAUUAAAAACAUCCUAAAGGGGAAUUGGAACGGGGGGGCCCCCCGCACAAAAGGCGGUGGGAAAGCAUGUGGGUUUUUAAUUUCCGAAGCAACCCGCGCAGAAAACCUUACCCAAGGCCCUUUUGGACAUCCCCCGAUCGGCGGGUUUUAGUGGGAGAACAACCUAAUCCCCUUCCAGGUUUCGGCUUGGGGAUCGGAAGAAACAGGGUUGCUGGGCAUGGGCUUGGUUCCGUCAGCCUCCGUUGGUCGAUGAAAGAAAUGUUGGGGGUUAAAGGUCCCCGGCCAAACGAGGCGGCCCAACCCGUCGGCCCCCUUUAGGUUUGCCCCAGCAAUUUCCAGGUUUGGGGCCACCUCCUAAAGGGGGAACCUGCCCGGGGUGGAAUAAAGCCGGAGAAGGGAAAGGGUGGGGGGAUGGACGGUCAAAGUUCCCUCAAUGGGCCCCUUUACGGGGGCUUGGGGCUUACAACACGUUGCUUACAAAUGGGUGGGUGGACAGGUGGGGGCAAGCGAGCCACGGCGGAGGUGGUGAAGCCUAAAUCUCCAAAAAGCCCAUCCUCAAGUUUCGGGAUUUGGCACUCUGCAAACUCGGAGUGGCAUGGAAGUUGGGAAAUCGCUAGGUAAUCCGCGGGAUCAGCAUGCCGGGGGGGGAAAAAAAAAUAUUUUCCCGGGGCCUUUUGUAACACACCCGCCCCGUCACACCCAUGGGGAAGUUGGGUUUUUACCCCGAAAGGCGCUUGUGCUAACCCGCAAAGGAGGCAAGGCGACCACGGGUAGGGUCAGCGACUGGGGUGAGCAAAAAAAGGGGGCCCCAACACAGAGAGAGAGAAAAAAGGGGAAGGGGGGCGGGUGUUUUUUUUGG